UCUCCACAACACUGGUUGUCCUGGCAACUGGUUCACUUAGUUCUUUUUUCUUCAGAAAUCCAGGAAUGAGAUCUUUGUCUUGGAUGUUCUGAGUAUACUUUUCCCUCCUUUUCCAUCCAGAUUUUAGGGAAUCGUAUUUCCCUAAGGAUCUUCAGUAGUUUUCUCACUUUUAUCCUUCAUUCCAGAGAGAGGGAACUGCUGGCUGGGGAGCAGUUACCUGAGUUCUGAGUGUAGAACACAGAGAAAAAAGCCUUGAGCUCAUACAAGCAGAGUUCUGUGCAGGGAGAUAUCUAGAGAAGGUUUCUUUAGCUCUCUGCCUGUAUGAUGUGUCUGUUCUGUCUGAUACUGAAGCAGUAUCGAGAAAAGUGGAUGUUGGGAGAGAUCUCAUAAGACCUUAGAGUUUAACCCAUAUUUAACUUCUAGGAGGUAAAGGAGUCAUUUGGCCAGCCAAUUACAGAGCCAUGGAAAAAGUCCUGAUGGUACAAGGACUUGGAAUCAGAAUCUCUAGUUUUUAUCUACCAUGUAGUGGUAAUUUUGGGGACUACUUAAGAAGAUUGAAUUCCAGAGGCUGACUAGAUUUUAAGAUCAGGACGUAACUCUCAACCACUUCUCCAGCACCAUGUCUGCCAUACCUGCUGCUGUGCUCCCUCCAAAGAUAAUGAACUAAGCAUUUGGAACUGUGAAUUUGAAAUCAAAUUCCUUCUCUAAAGGAAAGGGUACACAACUUCUAUUUUCCUGAGAGAGCAUCACCAAAGUCACAGUUUGUCGACUUCACUUCUCAGCCGUCUAUUACGUAGGUCCUGAGAUAUCAGGACUACAUUUAAGUAUUCGUCUGCCUGUGGACCAUGAAUGACUUCAAAUUCUUUGACGACAUUAAAAUAUUCAUGAUCCUGGUGGUGAAGAAUGGCCCCUUUUCCAGUACAGCUCAUGAAUUAAUUCAAUAGCCUUGGAAUAAAAGAGCUUUUCUCUCCUUAUGAAGAUGCAUAUUGUUGUGCCUGGGAGAUCCAAGGACCACUGCAAGAGAAACCACUGACCUCUGGAUUUCAGCUAGGCAGAGGGUAGCACCAGUCCACCAGAGGAAAGAAGAGUCAAACCAGGAACAUGCUACGGAAGCACAGUAUCCAUAAGCUGCAUCUUAAAUACUUUUGAGGAUGUUGCUGUUCCUGUAAUCAUGGGUUACGGUGGGCCUGUACCUCUUUGCCUACUUCAAGUACAUGUGGCAGUGGGGCCAGUGGCUUCCUACUCUUGAUGUACUUGCACUGAAGAAUAUUUGCCUUCUUAAUCCA
Molecule: long non-coding RNA, 1286 nt
Organism: Peromyscus eremicus (cactus mouse)
Lineage: Eukaryota; Metazoa; Chordata; Mammalia; Rodentia; Cricetidae
Exons: 9
Source: RefSeq, a predicted model, not a curated record